Molecule: long non-coding RNA, 1192 nt
Filed under: Capra hircus (goat)
Lineage: Eukaryota; Metazoa; Chordata; Mammalia; Artiodactyla; Bovidae
Description: lncRNA (ENSCHIG00010022785.1)
Source: RNAcentral
GUAUUCUUGCCUGGAGAAUUCCAAGGGCAGAGGAGCCUAGUGGGUUACAGUCCGUGGCGUCACAGAGUCGGACACGAUUGAGUGACUAACACUUUCACUUUUCUCCCCCUCCCACAGGUGGGUUAACCUCCCUUCUAUCCCUGCCCUAAAUCUCAGUCAUUCUUUGCACCCUUUCUCCUAACAGACACUGAAAUCUGGGAUGGCCAAGCUGUCGCGUAUUCCUUCAUCUUUAUGCCCAUCAUUUCAUAGUGUUUGCUGAACCAACAGAUACAAGACGCACUUGCUCAAACACGUUUGGACUAUUCCCUCACAAACAUGUAUAAAAACUUUUGCCACGUGGUGUGAAUAAAGGCUGGCACGUAUAUGGUGCCUGCUACAUACUAAGAACACAGGUUAACCCGUUAUAUCCUCACAACCCUAUAAAGUAGGAACAAAUACUUGCAGUUUACUUGUGAAGAAAACUGGCCUCAGAGGUUGUGAUUUACUUAAAGUCACACACUGAAUAGCCCGGCAAGGACCAGGGUUAAUCCCACUCCAGGGUCUGAUCUAAACCACUAUCCUAACCUCUAUGCUGUGAAGGUCACUCUACUGCAGUAGGAACUGGAAUUUUCAGUGUCCACUCUUGAUGGUUAGGUAACAUCACGGACUCACUGGGCAUGAAUCUGAGCAAACUCCAGAAGACAGCAAAGGACAGGGGAGUCUGGUUUGCUGCAGUCCAUAAAGUCGCAGAGUCGGACACGACUGAGCGACUGCAGAAUAAACAACUCCUUGAGGGCAGUGUUUUGCUUCCUGCUGUUCUUCUUUAGGGCUCAGAACAGGGUCUUGGCUAGGCAUAGUGAAUGAAUCCGCAGCCUAGCACAGCCUGAAGGAAAUUUUCCGGAUCCUCGUCCGCUGCCCCAGGCUCAAACCCUACUACUGCCUUCCAAGAGUAUCAUAAGCGGCUCCCACAGGGGAACUACUUUUUCUCCCGCGGGGGCACUACUUCGCGGAGGCGUCAGCACUGGCGGCGCGCACGGCAUGGCGGCGGAGGCGCGCCUGAGGUAGAGGGACGCCGGCCCGGUCAGGCCUCGGCGCGGCCUACACGCUUUGCUCGCCCGCUCCCGCCCCAGCUCCCGCCCGGCCAUGGCGGAGCCCUCGCCCGCCCGACGCCCGGUGCCUCUCAUCGAGUCGGAGCUGUACUUCCUCAUCGCCC